GUGUAAUUGUGAAACAGGACCCCCAGGAGCUCGCGGUACCGUCCAGACUAUAUUGGAUUUGAAGUGCCUGACAAGUUCCUAGUGGGAUAUGCUUUAGACUACAAUGAAUAUUUCAGGGAUUUGAGUCAUAUCUGCAUAUUAAGUGACCGAGCGAAAGAGAAAUAUAAAGUAUGAUAUGACACAAGUGCUGGAUGCAUGAACGGACAAAGAUCACUUUGUGAAUUUUUUU
Long non-coding RNA from Cyprinus carpio (common carp), 229 nucleotides. RefSeq lists it as uncharacterized. Lineage: Eukaryota; Metazoa; Chordata; Actinopteri; Cypriniformes; Cyprinidae. The transcript is spliced from 3 exons. The record is from RefSeq and is a predicted model, not a curated record.